This 658-nucleotide ribosomal RNA is filed under the name uncultured fungus. Its description in RNAcentral is "eukaryotic LSU rRNA". It matches the Rfam family "Eukaryotic large subunit ribosomal RNA", at positions 24 to 664 of the family's 3401-position model. The record is from RNAcentral. Lineage: Eukaryota; Fungi.
CCCGCUGAACUUAAGCAUAUCACUAAGCGGAGGAAAAGAAAUUAACUAAGAUUGCCUCAGUAACGGCGAGUGAAGCGGCAAGAGCCCAAACUGGAAAUCUUCACCCCUCGGGUGACGAAUUGUAAUCUAAAGCUGGUUCGCUCAACGGGUGGUGGCGCAGAAGUGCCUUAGAACGGGCCGCCAGAGAGGGUGACAGCCCCGUAUGUGGUGCCACUACCUAACGAGUGGGUUAGCAAAGAGUCGGGUUGCUUUGAAUUGCAGCCCUAAGUGGGAGAUAAACUUCUUCUAAGGCUAAAUACCUAUGGGAAACCGGUAGCGAACAAGUACUGUGAAGGAAAGAUGAAAAGAACUUUGAAAAGAGAGUCAAAAGACUUGAAAUCGUUGAGAAGGAAGCGGUAGAAAUUUAUUCUUCGGCGGUGUGCGGUGGUGGUUGCCUAGCCAUUGCAGGCUUCGAGCACGUCAAAGGCUCUGGUUUGCACUUGGGGAAGCGGCCGCUUUGUUCGCCGUCGUGAGGCAAAAUGAGGUCGCGUUCCCGCAGAGGCUUCUCAGACCUGGCCUGAUUCGUCAGGCAGUCUGGGUGUGCUGGCGGGCGUGCGGCCUGAGGGUGCUUUGUGCGAUUUUGCCAAAAUGGUUUUUACCGACCCGUCUUGAAACACGG